Molecule: long non-coding RNA, 3233 nt
Organism: Hypanus sabinus (Atlantic stingray)
Lineage: Eukaryota; Metazoa; Chordata; Chondrichthyes; Myliobatiformes; Dasyatidae
Exons: 3
Source: RefSeq, a predicted model, not a curated record
CUCUGGUGAAAAUGCAGAAUAUUGCUUAAAUGGAGAGAGACGGCAUAAAGUACCUCGGUUUCCUCGCCCGUGAAAGACAUUUUAACAUGAAUUCACAGCACAGGAAGACAAGUCAAGGUGUACAAACAACUCCGAGUCCAUUUUCUUUUAAGCAAGCGCAGCAGAUGCAAGAAACAGGAUAAAAUCAAUGAAAGGCUGCGCCCAACAGGACGGGAAACAACCAGCGUGCAACAAAAAACAAGCUCUGCAAAUACAAAAAAAAGAGAGAAAAAUAAUAAAUGGAGUGAAGAUUGCAUUUGCUGAGAGCCAUUCAAGAUGUCUAUAAUGAGUGCCAUUGUCCCAAAGCAAUGAAAUGAAUGGCUGACACUGUUCCGCACCAUCUGUGGUCCAUCGUCACUGACUAAGUGUUCUGGAACACCAGUCCUUGCGUAGACACUUCUCCAUCCAUCAACAGUGUGCGAGGCCGCAGUGGAGGCUAUUGGGAACACGUCUGGCCACCUUGUAGCUGCAUCCACCACUACCAAGAAAUUUGUGCCCAUAAAUGGUCUGGCAAAAUCCACAAACAUUUUGCCCAGGCCGUUCCCAGGGAUGGAGGGGCGCUUCUCUUGGCAUCUUCUGGGCAUGUUGGCAUCCCGCACAGUGUAUGGCAAGCACCUUGAUCUGCUGAUCUAUUCCAAGCCACCAGACAAAACUUCAAGACAAUGCUUUCAUUUUGACCACGCCUAGAUGACCGGCAUGUAGCUCCUCCAACACUUUGGCUCUCAGCUUGGACAUUACAACAACUCUCAAUCCCCCCAUAAAGCAACUACCAACAAGGGUAAGUUCAUCCCAGUGCUGGUAAAAAAUGGGAAAGUUGGAUUUUUGCUACACAUUCCAGCCAUUUUGGCUUGCCAUGUAGAUCUGGCACAACGUGGCAUCUUUUCUGCUUUCCCGUUGAAUCUGCUCUAUGUUAAUAGGGAGACUUUCCAUUUGCUUUAGGGAGAAUAUGUCAGGAGGAGUGUCCUCUUCUGUAAAUUUUUCAGGUAUUUCCUUCUCCAAUCCAUCAGCAUUUCCAUGAUUAGUUGACCUCUUGAAUUUAAUCUUGGUAAUUGUGUCCUGUAAUAGAGCCCAUCUCUGCAUUUGUGCUGUUGCUGUUGGUGGUACACCCUUCUGUGGAUUGAAAAUGGACGCUUUGUGGUUGAUGAUAAGUAAUGAGGGUAAACUCUCUCCCAGACAAGCACUUACAGAAACGUUUUACACCCCAAACCAGCCUCAGGGCCUCUCUGUCAAUCUGUGCAUUAUCUUUCUCUGCAGCAUUAAGGGAACGUGAUUUAAAGGCUUUCAGGUUUUCACUUACAUCACUCAUAACAUGUGACAUGACCUCAUCUAUACCAUAAGGCAAGCUUCGCUGGACAAUGUGAAUCAUAAAGUGUGAGUGUAGUGUCUGACAUAACCAUUUCCUUUGUCUUUUGAAAAGCCACCUCACACUGCUUUGUCAAUUGCCAUUUCUUCCCAAUGCAUAGUAAUAAGUUCAAGGGGUGGAGCACAGUAGCCAGGUUUGGAAAGAACCUGUUGUGAUAAUUGACAAAUCCUAAAAAGGACUGCAACUGUGACACUUCCAUUUGCCUUGGGGGAUCCACCACUGCUUGAAUUUUCUCAGAGCACUUAAGUAAAUUUUUGUGUGUCAAUGGUGUGACCACAGUAAGUGAGGUUUGGUUUAAAAAUUCACACUUGUGGCAUCAUGCUCUAAACCCACAAUCUUCUAAUCUUUUUAACACUGGCUUGAGAUUUUGGAGAUGUUCCUUCUUAUCCACACUGGUAACAAUGAUGAUAUCCGGGUAACACUAAGUGUUUGGGCAGCCUUGCAGCACAUGGCCCAUAGCUUUCUGCAGAGUGUAGGUGCAGAUGCUACUCCAAAAAUAAGCCUAUUAUAGUGAUAAGGUGUUUAUGGUGAGAAACACUUUGGACUCUUCUUCCAUCUCCAUCUGUAGGUAGGCCACAGCUAAGUCCUCUUUGCUGAAGCAUUUCCCUCUAGAAAGGUUUGCCAAUAUAUCCUCUAUCCUGGGCUGGGGGUAUUGAUUUAUUUUUAGUCCUGGGAUGAUGGUGACUUUAGAAUCAUCACAGAUCCUGACUGACUCAUUCUUCUUGCCUGCUGGGAACACUGGCAUUGCCCAUGGGCUCCACUCAACCUUGCAAAGAAUUCCUUCAGCCUCCUUGCGAUCUACAUAGCUCACAGGCUUUAUCACGGAUGGUAUAAGGAACUGGAUGGGCUUUGUAAACGUGGGUGUGGCAUUUUCACUUAACACUAUUUUACCCUUGACAUGUUUGAGUUUUCCAAUGCCAUCCUUGAACACUGCUAUGGCAUCAUCCAAUUCCUUCCUUGAUAGGAUUUCAGUUGACUCUAUUGCAAGGGAUGUAGCAUGCAAAUGGUGGAUGGAUCUCCAAUCAAACUGUAGUUUUCUCAGCUCAUCAUGGCCCACAAUGCUGGUCCUCCUGUUUUUAACACUUACAAGCCCAAUUUGGCUUGUUCUCAUUGCAUUUCACUGUUAUGAAUGUCAUUUCCACAGGCAUUUUCUUUUCUCCAGUAUAAGUUCUUAAUUGGAUAUCUGCAGGUUUCAGCUCAAUACCAUUGAAAAUGCCAUUGUUCUUUUUCAAUAAUUUUUUUCUUUUUCAAAAUACUGGAAGUAUUCCAAACUUUUUCUGUACUUUUUAAAGAAAAUUUUAAGCCUAAUCCUUUGACUGUCUUGGUUGGUAUUGUUGGAGAAAAAGGCAUAACCUUGGAGACAUCAGAUUUGCAUAUAAUGACUUUUAUUUCUCUUAUAGCUAGGAGGGUGGUGUUGCUUAAAUGGAAGGAUGUUGCUCCGCCUACUCAUGCUCAAUGGUUACGUGAUGUUAUGUCAUGCUUAAAUAUAGAGAAGAUCCGCUGUUCAAUUUCUGAUUCUAACCAACACUUUCAAACAUUCUGGGGACAAUUUUUGAACUACUUUCAAAACCUUUGAUUUGGUUUUAAAGUACAGAUGUUGGCUAAUAUCAUAAAUCACUAUUCGAUAAGGAUUUUUUUCCGUCUUUCUUUCUUUCUUUACCAAACAGCUUUGACCUUGGUAGUGAGUUUAGAUUCUUUUUUUCUAAUAAAAUUAUUUCAAUUCAAAUUACGAUUUAAUUAACGUACGUGUUUGAUUAUGAAUAUAGGGUACAGCGAUUGCAAGUGUGAUUUAAAUAUAAUGUAUUCGGUACUAUUCUAUCUUUUUCUUUGA